UACGUAGGUCCCGAGCGUUGUCCGGAUUUAUUGGGCGUAAAGCGAGCGCAGGCGGUUUGAUAAGUCUGAAGUUAAAGGCUGUGGCUCAACCAUAGUUCGCUUUGGAAACUGUCAAACUUGAGUGCAGAAGGGGAGAGUGGAAUUCCAUGUGUAGCGGUGAAAUGCGAAGAUAUAUGGAGGAACACCGGUGGCGAAAGCGGCUCUCUGGUCUGUAACUGACGCUGAGGCUCGAAAGCGUGGGGAGCGAACAGG
This 252-nucleotide ribosomal RNA is filed under the name Streptococcus salivarius. RNAcentral describes it as "partial 16S ribosomal RNA". It matches the Rfam family "Bacterial small subunit ribosomal RNA", at positions 524 to 776 of the family's 1533-position model. Lineage: Bacteria; Bacillati; Bacillota; Bacilli; Lactobacillales; Streptococcaceae. The record is from RNAcentral.